UACAGAGGUGGCAAGCGUUGUUCGGAAUUACUGGGCGUAAAGGGCGCGUAGGCGGCCAUGCGUGUCUUCCGUGAAAUCCCUCGGCUUAACUGAGGACGUGCGGAAGAAACUGCAAGGCUCGAGUCCGGGAGAGGGGGGUGGAAUUCCCAGUGUAGCGGUGAAAUGCGUAGAUAUUGGGAGGAACACCGGUGGCGAAGGCGGCCCCCUGGACCGGUACUGACGCUGAGGCGCGAAAGCGUGGGUAGCAAACGGG
Molecule: ribosomal RNA, 253 nt
Filed under: uncultured bacterium
Lineage: Bacteria
Description: partial 16S ribosomal RNA
Rfam family: Bacterial small subunit ribosomal RNA
Source: RNAcentral